Molecule: non-coding RNA, 107 nt
Filed under: Bacillus safensis
Lineage: Bacteria; Bacillati; Bacillota; Bacilli; Caryophanales; Bacillaceae
Description: Glycine riboswitch aptamer
Rfam family: Glycine riboswitch aptamer
About the family: This family represents the bacterial glycine riboswitch. Glycine riboswitches usually consist of two metabolite-binding aptamers domains with similar structures in tandem. The aptamers cooperatively bind glycine to regulate the expression of downstream genes.
Source: Rfam by way of RNAcentral
AUGAUGGUAUGGGGAGAGACUUGGCGGUUAUUUUGCACUGGCAGGCGCCGAAGGAGCAAGCUGAAUGAUUCAGUGAAUCUCUCAGGCAAAAGUACUCUUACCGGACG